GUACGCUAUUCAGAGUUUGAUCCUGGCUCAGGACGAACGCUGGCGGCGUGCUUAACACAUGCAAGUCGAGCGGGGAUUAAGGUUGGAAAGCUUCGGCCGGAAGAUUUAAUUCUAGCGGCGGACGGGUGAGUAACGCGUGAGCAAUCUGUCCCACACAGGGGGAUAACAACUGGAAACAGUUGCUAAUACCGCAUAAGACCACGAGGUCGCAUGGCCUUGAGGUAAAAGAUUUAUCGGUGUGGGGUGAGCUCGCGUCUGAUUAGCUAGUUGGUGAGGUAACGGCCCACCAAGGCGACGAUCAGUAGCCGACCUGAGAGGGUGAUCGGCCACAUUGGAACUGAGACACGGUCCAG
This 353-nucleotide ribosomal RNA is filed under the name uncultured bacterium. Its description in RNAcentral is "bacterial SSU rRNA". It matches the Rfam family "Bacterial small subunit ribosomal RNA", at positions 1 to 334 of the family's 1533-position model. The record is from RNAcentral.